RNAcentral lists this long non-coding RNA (9001 nucleotides) under Solanum tuberosum (potato). RNAcentral's name for it is "long non-coding RNA (STUB_LNC004066)". The record is from RNAcentral. Lineage: Eukaryota; Viridiplantae; Streptophyta; Magnoliopsida; Solanales; Solanaceae.
GAAAAUCAACAGAAAGAACACAAGAAGAAGGAGAAAAACAAAGACAACAAGACGCCGAGCUUCUUUUUGGCUGGAUUUAAACUAACUAUCAUCGCCAGGUUCUUUUUCAUAUAUUUAGAUCAAAUACUUGUUAUCUGUAUGUUUAUUAUUAUGCUAAUUGACAAGUUGUAUACUAUGUGUUUGUGAAAAUUCCCAAAUGAACUUUUUGAGUUAUAGGAAGACUUGACAUUGAUACUAUGUGUUCCAUAUAAUUAAGACUUUCAAGUACGGAUGUUUAUCAUUGGUUUCAGUUUUGAGGGUAUAGACAUGCUAAACUGUUAUAAAAUUGCUAAAAUACGAUUAAUUGGUUAUCAAGAUAGUUAACGGUCCAGUUAUCGACAAGGUAGCAGAAUAAGGAUAUAGAUCUUGCGUAGGAAGAUGUAUAUUUUUUUUACUAUAUUUAUGGACAGGAAGAAUUAAGAUUGUGGGAUUAUAACAAUGUUUGGAACUAAAUUGAUAUGCAGUACUUGAUAUCUCAACAAUGGUUAGGGAUUUACUUUGGUCAAUUAAAUGGUAACCAUUAAAUUCAACAUAUGUCAUGUGUCACCACUCGAAGGAGGAACUUGGGGAAAAUGGAGAGGAGUCGGAUCCUUGACGACCCUAUAUUAAUGGUCAUCGGGGUGAUAGAAUUGAUAAAGUGACCUCGUUAACGGAACACAACUGAUCAUUAGAUUGAGGCUCAGCUGAUCUCACGGCAAGUCUCCCAAUAGAAAAUGCAGGUUGUGAUGGCUGUGGAAGUGUUUUAGUGUCAUUUUCCAGCAUAAACACUACUGAGGACAUGGUAGGUCUAUCUGCUGGAUCUUGUUGAACGCAGAGUAGUCCGAUAUGGAUGCAUUCUGUUAUCUCAGUUGUCACACAAGACUGCGAUAAGCAAGGGUCCAUUAGCUCUAAUCCAUGCCCUUCACGCCACAAUUUCCACGCCUAUAUUUUCAAGAUAGUUUUAGGAUGCUUUAUGCAAGUUGAGAUUGACAUAAGCAAAAAUAAAAAUGGAGAAGAAGUAUACUUACAAAAUUAAGGAGACUCUGACCAUAUUCAGAAACAUAGCUAUUGUUCUUCCUUCCACUUACUAUCUCAAGCAACAGAACACCGAAGCUGAACACAUCUGAUUUAGUAGAAAAAAGUCCCUCCAUAGCAUACUCAGGAGCCAUAUAUCCACUGUAAAAAUGGCAAAAGUAAAAAAUGGUUCUUAGCAUCAAUCUUACAGUACAAUGUUGUUUUAAAUAGUACCAACAGAUUUUUGCAUUUUUGCAUCAACUUACUAGGUUCCAACAACUCUAUUUGUAUUGGCUUCUCGUUGAUUUCCGUUAAACAUCUUUGCCAUUCCAAAGUCAGAUAUCUUGGGGUUCAUAUCUUUGUCCAGUAAAACAUUGCUAGCUUUUAGGUCCCUAUGAAUGAUUCUUAGUCGAGAAUCCUCGUGUAGAUACAGAAUGCCCUUUGCUAUUCCUUUAAUAAUGUGGAGACGUUGUCUCCAAUCCAGAAUCUUGUUUUCUCUUGAUUCUAGAAAAAGGAAGUAUGAAGUUAGUAAAUUAAUUGCCUCUUUGUGGUAUAUACUAAUAUGCCAAAUUAGUCGAGGACAAACCAAAAAGGAAGAAGUCCAGGCUUUUGUUGGGCAUGAACUCAUAGAUAAGCAGUGCUUCGAUUCCCUCUAAACAGCAACCCAAGAGCCUCACGAGAUUUCUGUGUUGUAAUCUGGCAAUUAAGACAACUUCAUUCUUGAACUCUUUCAGUCCCUGACCGGACGUUCUGGACAGCCUUUUGAUUGCAAUUGUUAUGCCAUAUGGUAGUGUACCCUGUAAUGUUAUACACAACAUUAAAUAACCCAAAAUUUCACGGAAAAACUGACCCCCUCUAGCAACUAGAUUCACUAGACUAAGACUUGAGGACUACCUAGGUCAUUAUAAAUGAUAGGAAUUAUUACCUUGUACACAGGACCAAAUCCACCUUCUCCAAGCUUGUUUUCUUCAGAAAAAUUUUGUGUAGCCGCUCGAAUGAGGUCUAGUUUUACAACUGGAAACUCUCUGGAUCUCCCCUUCUUUUCUGAGCCAAAAUCAUCAUUCUCAUCAAAUGUUUCUCCUAUUAUGUCAAGCAAUUGAAGUUCUUGACUCUUUUCAUUCCUCUCUGUAAAGAUUCAACUUUUGAUUGGUUAGCUGAAACUAUAACUAUUUUCUUUUCAAUCCAAAAUGCCAAAGGAAAAUUUACCUUUCUCUAUUCGUCUUCUUCUUUUUAGAAGGUAAAAGCAAGUUCCUGCCAGUACAACAGCUAAAAUUGCUAGUGUAACACCUAUAAUGAUACUAAUAAGCUUCGUCUUUGAAGUAUUUUUGCCUGAAAAAAAGUAGUUGAUCAAUUAAAAGCUGAAUUCAACUGUUACUUCGUGAUGUGUGAAAGUAUGCAUGACUAUCUUAACUAUAAGUUGGAGAAAUUAUAUUUGAUACAUGCACACUAAUCAUUCAGCCAUAACUCUAUUAGUAGAUGAUUUUCUUUGAGGGUGUGCGCCAAAACCUUAAACGACAAACAUUUGAUAUGGACCAUGCAGUAUAUGAUUAUGAUUAAAAAGCUUUUAAUAUACAUUUGAAGUGAUUAGUUUAAUGUGAGAAACAGUACCUCCAUAUAGAUUUCUGGGAAAUUUGGCUUCAGAGUAAAAUUAAAGCAUGUAAUUAACUUAUAGAAGAUCCCAUACCUUGGUCUUCGUUUCCCUGGAUGGUCAAUGGCGGUAAACUGGUGAGGAGUUGAUAUAGCUCGUACCUUAAAUUGCAGCUUGCAUGAAGAACUCUAACUCCUGUUGGUAUUUUGGUGUCAAAGAGUGUUAUACUCAUUUGAGAAAAAGCAGUUUUCAGGCAAGUGACACAAUCUACAGCUGACAAAUCCGGUAGACACUGCACCAUGCCAUACAAUCUUUGAAAAUCGUUAAUUUCAUCAGAAUUGUCAGCAUAUUUCAGAUUGAGAUUGACGGUAAUAGCUUGAGUGAUAACAUUAUCAAACAUUGCACUCAAAUUACCCAUAAAUUGUUCUGGCCGUGAAACAUUUUGUGUGUUAUACAGGAUCCUAGAAACCGAGGUGUCUAACAUGGACGCGAAAGAUACAUUAGAAUAACGGACCAAACACUCAUCAAACCAUAUAAUUGCCUGUUUCUUGAGCGGACAUUCACGUUGAAUCCGCUCUCUUGCCACGUCUAUGCAGUUUUUGCAGUCUUUAGGUACAACGUCUCCUCUACAGAGGAAUAGUCCAUAAACUUUGUCAGGGUCUUCUCCUUCACUGGCUUUUGUAUAGAUGAAAUCGCUACCAUUAUUGUACAGUGAUCUGUACAGCAAUCGGUUAAGAUUUGAUUGGAAUUUGCUUCUUUCUGAAUAAUUAUUGGGCAUUGAACAAUCGUAGUAUAAGGGAUUCACCUGCAUCUGUGCUUUGACACCCACAAGCAGUAGUGAAUGGAACAACAAAAUCAGAAUUAAUGUUUGGGUACUGCACAAACACAAAACCAAAACCGACGCCAUUCUUGACUAUAGUAACUUGCUGUUGAAUUAUGUCUAAAGUAAUAGGAGAAGAAGAUGAAUCUGCUCGAAACUACAAGUUUGAUUUUUCAUGAAAAUAAUUUUCCCAUAACAGUUUCCUUCACUCCUUCCUACCAAUAGUCAUUUGACUUUGACAAUGACAAAUUAAUUACAAGGAAUAAUUGGUCUAACAAGUCUAGACUGAAAGUAACAGCAUUGGGGAAGAAGUAAUUUUAAGUACGUUAAAUGUAAAUCAAUAACUUGUAGAAUUUGUACUUUAUUUCUUCCUCAAAUAUAUGCUUUUAUAUAAAAUAUUUUUUACCUUUAAUGUGGGUACGGUUCCAAUUAAGAAAUAGAAUAAUCUUUUUAAAAAAAAUUUUACGUGGGUACGGGUUACCUCUUUGUUGCCUUUGUUCAUAUCCUAAUGAUGAUUCACCUUUUCUCUAUAUCUACUUUUGUCAGUAGCUCUUUUACUAUUUUUAGAGUUCGUUAAUGAUUUUUAACUCAAAAAAUAAAAAGUAAGAAAGAGAUUUACUUUUGAUUUUUCAUUUUUUGUAAAGUUAUUUUUAAUUUGAGAAAAGACAUAAAGUUAUUAUUGAAGUUGUUUCGAAUUUUCAAAAAGACACUUAAACUUUGCGGGGUCCUAUUACCCAAUUAUUCUUAUUUAUAAUGAAUUUAUUAUCCCAUUAUGAGCCUAGGUGGCAGGAGAGUAUGGUUUAAUCUCCAUUUGAGGCGUGAGUCAAGCCAAAAAAUAAAUAAAUAUUUAUUUUAACAUUUAUUUAAUUAGAAAUAUUAUUUUCUUUUAGUUACUUCUAUUUUUUUAAUUUUAACUUUCUCAAUUCAUUCUUUUCUAUUAACUUCUUCACCCAAAUUCAACAACCCAAUAACCUUUUAUUUAUCUUCUUCAACUUAGAAGAUCCAUUUACUUCAUCCAUUUUUAUCACUUUUUUUUCUUAUCUCUUGCUUUUCUUUGUUUCUUUAACUUCAUUUAUCCUCUUUUUUUAUAAAAAUAAAAUAAAUGUGAACUCCAUUAUUCGAUUGAUUAGAGAGUAUUAUGAAACUCCAUUUUUUUUUAUAUUUUUGGAUUGAAUAUAUAAUUCCAUUACCUUGCUUUAGUGAUGAUUUAAUGGUGAAAAUAGUGCUAUAACAGCGAAGAAUCAUGGAGUACGUCGAAGGCGACAAUGGCUGCUACUUUAGAGGAAUGAAGGUUGAAGAAGAAAGAGGAUUAAAAUCGAAAAAGAAAAAUGGAGAUUUUUAAGUUGCUACUUUAGGUUCAUUUUCAAUUGAAAAUGAAAGAGGAUUUAAAAUUUUCACGCUUCCUCUCUUCAUUUGGGGUGUGUAGAGGAAUGAACGUUGAAGAAGAAAAAUUGAAAAUGAAAAUGAAACUAAAAAAUAAGAAUUUUAAAAAAUUAAUACGUGGCAAACAACAAUUGAUGUGUGAUUACACUUCUUUUCUUGCAAUUGAGGUUGGGUGAAAAGUGAGAUAUUUAUAACACUCUUAAAUUGUUUAAUGGUGUAAUAGGACAUCCACAAAAUUAAGAUAUUUUUUUAAAAUUAGAGAUAACUUUAGUGGUGACUUUAUGUCUUUUUUCUUUUAAUUUAUUUGAAGUUACUUUUAACUUUGUCAACUCUUUCAAAAGCUCAAAAUGAUAUAAAAAAGUUGUUUGAUCAAUUUUAAGUCAAUCCAAACAUGUUCUUGAAUCUCUUAUUUAUUAAUAUUCUGCAGUCUAACCAAACAUCCAGUAGUGUCCAGAAUUAUUCGUAAAUGAUUUCAUAAAAUUCAAGAAAUUUUCUAAUUAAAAAGAAGAAAAAUAAUAAUAAGAAAACUUAUAGGGAAAAUCACAGCAAGUAGGAGCUUUGUCCCAAAAAUUGCAAUGAACCCCUCCAUAUUUUUACCAUGAACAUUGAUUUUCUGAGAAUCAACAAAAAGAUCACAAGAAGAAGGAAAAAAACAAAGACAACCAGACACGGAGUUUUUUUUGCUGGAUUUGAACUAACUAUCAUCGCCAGGUUCUUUUUCAUCUAUUUUCGAUUAGAUAGAGAUCAAAUACUUGUUAUCUUUUUGUUUGACAUUGUGAAAAAUUGUAUACUAUGUAUUUGUGAAAAUUCCCAAAUGAUACUAGGUGUUCCAUUAAGUUCUUUCAAGUAGUGUUCGUUAUCCGUCGAUUUGGUUUUGAGGGUAUAAACAUGCUAAACUGCAAUAAAAUUGCUAAAAUACGAUUAAUUGGUUAUGGAUUAUUGAUCGUUAACAGUAUUGUUAUUGAUAUAACCCUUAAUUAUUCACUAACAUGGGUAUGGUCGUAUGGAAAAUAAAGUAGGCAUAAUAAGAACUCAAAUGAACCAUGAUAAAUGAACCAUGAUAAUAAGGGUAUAGACCUUGCGUAGGAAUAUUGUUUUUUUUUUUAAAACUAUAUUUAUGAGCAAGAUAAUAUAUUGCUAAGAUUGUGGGAUUAUAUCAAUUUUUGAGACUAAAUUGAUAUAAUAUAUUUAUUAUCUAAACCAUGGUUAGGGAUUUAUUUUGGUCAAUUAAAUCGUAGUCAUUAAUUCAACAUAUGUCAUGUGCACCAAUCGAAGUAGAAACUUGGGGAAAAUGGAGAGGAGACAGAUCCUUGAUGGACCCUAUAUUAAUGGUCAUCGGGGUGAUAGAAUUGAUAAAGUGACCUCGUUAACGGAACAUAACUGAUCAUUAGAUCGAGGCUCAGCUGAUCUCACGGCAAGUCUCCCAAUAGAAAAUGCAGGUUGUGAUGGUUGUGGAAAUGUUUUAGUGUCGUUUUCCAGCAUAAAAACCACAGAGGACAUGGUAGGUCUAUCUGCUGGAUCUUGUUGAACGCAGAGUAGUCCGAUAUGGAUGCAUUUUGUUAUCUCAGUUGUCACACAAGACUGUGAUAAGCAAGGGUCCAUUAGCUCUAAUCCAUGCUCUUCACACCACAACUUCCACGCCUGAAUUUUCAAGAUAGUUUUAGGAUGCUUCAUGCAAGUUGAAAUUGACAUAAGCAAAAAUAAAAAUGGAGAAGAAGUAUACUUACAAAAUUAAGGAGACUCUGACCAUAUUCGGAAACAUAGCUAUUGUUCUUCCUUCCACUUACUAUCUCAAGCAACAGAACACCAAAGCUGAAAACAUCUGAUUUAGUAGAAAAAAGUCCCUCCAUAGCAUACUCAGGGGCCAUAUAUCCACUGUAAAAAUGGCAGAAGUAAAAAAUGGUCCUUAGCAUCAAUCUUACACUAUAAUGUUGUUUUAAAUAGUACCAACAGAUUUUUGCAUUGUUGCAUCAUCUUACUAGGUUCCAAUAACUCUAUUUGUAUUGGCUUCUCGUUGAUUUCCGCUAAACAUCUUUGCCAUUCCAAAGUCAGAUAUCUUGGGGUUCAUAUCUUUGUCCAGUAAAAUAUUGCUAGCUUUUAGGUCCCUAUGAAUGAUUCUUAGUCGAGAAUCCUCGUGUAGAUACAAAAUACCCUUUGCUAUUCCUUUAAUAAUGUGGACACGUUGUCUCCAUUCCAGAAUUUCAUUUUCUCUUGAAUCUAGAAAAAGAAAGUUUGAAGUUAGUGAAUUAAUUGCUUCUUUGUGGCAUAUACUAAUAUGCCAAAUAAGUGAACGUCAAACCAAAAAGGAAGAAGUCCAGGAUUUUGUUGGGCAUGAACUCAUAGAUAAGCAGUGCCUCAUUUCCCUCUAAACAGCAACCCAAGAGCCUCACGAGAUUUCUGUGUUGUAAUCUGGCAAUUAAGACAACUUCAUUCUUGAACUCUUUCAGUCCCUGACCGGACGUUCUAGAGAGCCUCUUGAUUGCAAUUGCUAUGCCAUUGGCUAGAGUACCCUGGAAUGUUAUACACAACACUAAAUAACCCAAAAAUCAUGAAAAAUUGACCCCCUCUAGCAACUUAGAUUCACUAGUCUCUAGACUAAGAUUUAAGGACUUCCUAGGUAAUUGGUUAUGACAAAUGAUAGGAAUCGUUACCUUGUACACUGGACCAAAUCCACCUUCUCCAAGCUUGUUUUCUUCAGAAAAUUUUUGUGUAGCAGCUCGAAUGAGGUCUAGUUUUACUACUGGAAAUUCUCUGGAUCUCCCCUGCUUUUCUGAGCCAAAAUCAUCAUUCGCAUCAAGCGUUUCUCCUAUCAUGUCAAGCAAUUGAAUUUCUCGACUCUUUUCAUUCCUCCCUGUAAAGAUCCAACUUUUGAUUGGUUAGCUGAAACUACAAUUAUUUUCUUUUCAAUGCAUAAUACCAAAAGAAAAAUUACCCUUCUCUAUUCGUCUUCUUCUUUUUACAAGGUAAAAGCAAGUACCUGCCAGUACAACAGCUAAAAUUGCUAGUAUAACACCUAUAAUGAUACUUAUAAGCUUUGUCUUUGAAGUAUUUUUGCCUGCAAAAAAAAAUAGUUGGUCAAUUAAAAGCUGAAUUAGACCGUUACUUCGUGAAGUGUUUAAGUGUGCGUGACUAUCUUCUCUACAAGUUGGAGAAAUGAUAAUUGAUACAUGCACAAUGAUCAUUCAGCCAUAACUCCUAUUAGUAAAUGAUUUUCUUUGAGGGUGUGCAUCAAAAUUUAAACGACAUUCGAUAUUGACCAUGACACCAUGUAGUAUAUGAUUAUGAUUAAAAGCUUUUAAUGUGAAAAAUAGUGAGAAAAGGUGCCUUCAAAUAGAUUUCCUGGGAAAUUUGGCUUUUAAUGUAAUGAACUCAUACCUUCGUCUUCAUUCCCCUGUCUGGUCGAUGGCGGUACACUGGCAUAGAGGAAUGGAUAUAGCUCAUACCUUAAAUUGCAGCUAGGAAGUAGUAUUCUGACUCCACGUGGUACCUUGGCAAUAGACAGAGAGAGGUUACGGAUUCCAGAAAAAGCAGUUUUCAGGCAAGUGACACAAUUUACAGCUGACAAAUCAGGUAGACACUGCACUGAUGCAUGCAAUUUGCCAUCAAACGAGUUAAUUACAUCAGAAUUGUCAGCAUAUUUCAGAUUGAGAUUGAUUGUAGUAGCUUGAGCGGUAAGAUUAUCAAACAUUGCACUCAAAUUCCCCAUAAAUUGUUCUGGCUGUGAAACAUUUUCUACGCUAUACAGGAUCUUAGAAAUCGAGGUGUCUAACAUGGACACGAAAGAUACAUUAGAAUAGCGGACCAAUCACUCAUCAAACCAUAUAAUUGCCUGCUUCUUGAGCGGACAUUCACGUUGGAUCCGCUCUCUUGCCACGUCAAUGCAGUUUUUGCAGUCAUUAGGUACAACGUCUCCUCUACAGAGGAAUACUCCAUAAACUUUAUCAGGGUCUUCUCCUUCUCUGGCUUUUGUAUAGAUGGAAUUGUUACCAUUAUUGUUUAAUGGACUGUACAGCAAUUGGUUAAGAUUUGAUUGGAAUAUGCUUCCUUCUGUAUAAUUAUUGAUCAUUGAACAAGUGUAGUAUGAGGGCUGCAUCUGUGCUUUGACGCCCACAAGCAGUGAAUGGAGCAACAAAAUCAGAAUUGUUUGGAUACUGCACAAACACAAAACUAUAACCAAC